RNAcentral lists this ribosomal RNA (253 nucleotides) under uncultured bacterium. RNAcentral's name for it is "partial 16S ribosomal RNA". It matches the Rfam family "Bacterial small subunit ribosomal RNA", at positions 524 to 776 of the family's 1533-position model. The record is from RNAcentral.
UACGUAGGUGGCAAGCGUUGUCCGGAUUUACUGGGCGUAAAGAGCGCGCAGGCGGUCGUUCAAGUCACGUGUGAAAGCCCCCGGCUCAACUGGGGAGGGUCACGCGAUACUGAUCGACUCGAAGGCAGGAGAGGGUAGUGGAAUUCCCGGUGUAGUGGUGAAAUGCGUAGAUAUCGGGAGGAACACCGGUGGCGAAGGCGGCUUCCUGGACCGACACUGACGCUGAGGCGCGAAAGCUAGGGGAGCAAACGGG